RNAcentral lists this long non-coding RNA (1161 nucleotides) under Capra hircus (goat). Its description in RNAcentral is "lncRNA (ENSCHIG00010018460.1)". Lineage: Eukaryota; Metazoa; Chordata; Mammalia; Artiodactyla; Bovidae. The record is from RNAcentral.
AUGGGGGUCUCUGAGAACAGUGAUGGUCUAGAGAGGUUGAGAGACAGCACCAAGCCCUCACGUCUGGUAAAUAUCAGGGCCUUGUACUUCCUGAGCAGUUACUCGGUGUGUAAUUUGAGAGCUAAGGAGUGGGAUCGGGCAGGGGCGGGGUGCAGGGAGAGAAAGGGGAGAGAUGCCUUGGAGGUCAUAAGGCUCCCUUCUCCCAUGACACUAACCCCAUAUCGUAGCCGUCUGUCAGCCUCUCUGUGCCCCCAUCAAGACUGAUCUUCCUGGGCAGGAACCAUGUCCCGUUCAUUCGUCUCCAUUACCCCUGAACAGAUGCAUUGACCCCUCCUGCUGCUGCUCAGACAGACUUGGAGGGAAGGAGGGCGCUCCAGCGGACAUCCUUCACCCAGGGCACUCUCCCAGCCACCUCCCGGGGGAAGCUCAGGUCCAGGAGACUCACGUGCCUGGGCUGCAGAUAUCAUGCAGGCAGGACCAGCUCUGCUGAGGGAGGCCCCGCCUAGGGGAGAGACCGACCUCCCUGCUCAAGAAAGGCUCUACAAGCCAGGCCAGCCAGUGAGCAUCUCGCCGGACUAGAGAGCUGCAACCCCAGCUCCCGGCAAAGGCAGCCGUGGAUCGUCUCGUGCGCAGCACUGCCCUCUGGUGGCCACUGGGAGCCUAGACGCAGACGAUCUCGGCAGGCAGGAAGCCAAAGGCGUUAAGGCUUGUUUACGGGGACCUCAGUCGUGAUGUGCGGAGAACACGGAAGAGACGCAGUUGUGCGUGCGCAAAGACGCCCCCGAUGCGCGCACACAGCCCGUUUUACCGUGGGAGGCAGCCCAGAUUAGGACUGCGAGUCUAAGACUGCUCCCUUCAUCCCUCUCUCUUUGCAGGAGUCUAAGGGCUCCUUUCCCUGCCUCUGGAAGAGCCUAGAUCCCUCAGCCCCAGAGCAGACGCUGGCAGAGGGCGGGAGGACGAGAGCCUCACCAGCUGGGGAGGCGGCCUUGCACGUUCUGGUCUCGCUGUGCUAGGAACUCGCUGGGUGACUGAGUCCAGUCUAUUCAUUUCUCUGGAGCCUCAGGUUCCCGCUCUGUAAAACGGGGUUUGGCCCUAAUUGUUCCUGAGCCCCUUUCCAGGUCAGAUGAUUUAUGGUUCAAAGUCUUGAUCUUUUUUCAUAAU